GUGGGGAAUAUUGGGCAAUGGGGGAAACCCUGACCCAGCGACGCCGCGUGAGGGAAGAAGGCCUUAGGGUCGUAAACCUCUGUUGUGUGGGAAGAAGAGCGUGACGGUACCACACGAGGAAGUCCCGGCUAACUACGUGCCAGCAGCCGCGGUAAUACGUAGGGGACGAGCGUUGUCCGGAUUUACUGGGCGUAAAGGGCGCGUAGGCGGGCAUUUAAGUCAGCUGUGAAAUGGUUUGGCUUAACCGGAUCAUGCGGUUGAAACUGGAUGACUGGAGUGCUGGAGAGGCAAGUGGAAUUCCCAGUGUAGCGGUGAAAUGCGUAGAUAUUGGGAAGAACACCGGUGGCGAAGGCGACUUGCUGGCCAGCAACUGACGCUGAGGCGCGAAAGCCAGGGGAGCAAACGGGAUUAGAAACCCGGGUAGUCC
RNAcentral lists this ribosomal RNA (427 nucleotides) under uncultured bacterium. RNAcentral describes it as "partial 16S ribosomal RNA". It matches the Rfam family "Bacterial small subunit ribosomal RNA", at positions 354 to 796 of the family's 1533-position model. The record is from RNAcentral.